RNAcentral lists this ribosomal RNA (565 nucleotides) under uncultured Glomeromycotina. RNAcentral describes it as "SSU rRNA". It matches the Rfam family "Eukaryotic small subunit ribosomal RNA", at positions 548 to 1114 of the family's 1831-position model. Lineage: Eukaryota; Fungi; Glomeromycota. The record is from RNAcentral.
UUGGAGGGCAAGUCUGGUGCCAGCAGCCGCGGUAAUUCCAGCUCCAACAGCGUAUAUUAAAGUUGUUGCAGUUAAAAAGCUCGUAGUUGAAUUUUGGGUCUGGCCGGGCGGUCCGCCCUCCGGGUGAGCACUGUUCCGACGUCGGGCCUAUCCUUCUGGUGAGUCGGCAUGUCCUUUAUUGGGUGUGUCGGGGAACCAGGACCAUUACCUUGAAAAAAUUAGAGUGUUCAAGGCAGGCGUAUGCUCGGAUACAUUAGCAUGGAAUAAUGAAAUAGGACGCGUGGUGCUAUUUUGUUGGUUUCUAGAACCGCCGUAAUGAUUAAUAGGGAUAGUUGGGGGCAUUAGUAUUCAAUUGUCAGAAGUGAAAUUCUUGGAUUUAUUGAAGACUAACUUCUGCGAAAGCAUUUGCCAAGGAUGUUUUCACUAAUCAAGAACGAAAGUUAGGGGAUCGAAGACGAUCAGAUACCGUCGUAGUCUUAACCAUAAACUAUGCCGACUAGGAAUCGGGCGAUGUUAUUCUCAUGACUCGCCUGGCGCCUUAUGGGAAACCAAAGUGUUUGGGUUC